GAUGAACGCUGGCGGCGUGCCUAAUACAUGCAAGUCGAGCGAACAGACGAGGAGCUUGCUCCUCUGACGUUAGCGGCGGACGGGUGAGUAACACGUGGAUAACCUACCUAUAAGACUGGGAUAACUUCGGGAAACCGGAGCUAAUACCGGAUAAUAUAUUGAACCGCAUGGUUCAAUAGUGAAAGACGGUUUUGCUGUCACUUAUAGAUGGAUCCGCGCCGCAUGAGCUAGUUGGUAAGGUAACGGCUUACCAAGGCAACGAUGCGUAGCCGACCUGAGAGGGUGAUCGGCCACACUGGAACUGAGACACGGCCCAGACUCCUACGGGAGGCAGCAGUAGGGAAUCUUGCACAAUGGGCGCAACCCUGACGCAGCAACGCCGCGUGAGUGAUGAAGGUCUUCGGAUCGUAAACCUCUGUUAUUAGGGAAGAACAACUGUGUAAUUAACUAUGCACGGCUUGACGGUACCGAAUCAGAAAGCCACGGCUAACUACGUG
This 497-nucleotide ribosomal RNA is filed under the name uncultured bacterium. RNAcentral's name for it is "partial 16S ribosomal RNA". It matches the Rfam family "Bacterial small subunit ribosomal RNA", at positions 28 to 507 of the family's 1533-position model. The record is from RNAcentral.